This 469-nucleotide ribosomal RNA is filed under the name uncultured bacterium. RNAcentral's name for it is "partial 16S ribosomal RNA". It matches the Rfam family "Bacterial small subunit ribosomal RNA", at positions 28 to 507 of the family's 1533-position model. The record is from RNAcentral.
GACGAACGCUGGCGGCGUGCUUAACACAUGCAAGUCGAACGGUGAAGCGAGUGCUUGCACUCGUGGAUCAGUGGCGAACGGGUGAGUAACACGUGAGUAACCUGCCCAUCACUCUGGGAUAAGCACUGGAAACGGUGUCUAAUACUGGAUACGACCACCCCUUGCAUGGGGUGUUGGUGGAAAGAUUUAUCGGUGAUGGAUGGACUCGCGGCCUAUCAGCUUGUUGGCGGGGUAAUGGCCCACCAAGGCGACGACGGGUAGCCGGCCUGAGAGGGUGACCGGCCACACUGGGACUGAGACACGGCCCAGACUCCUACGGGAGGCAGCAGUGGGGAAUAUUGCACAAUGGGCGAAAGCCUGAUGCAGCGACGCCGCGUGAGGGAUGACGGCCUUCGGGUUGUAAACCGCUUUCAGCAGGGAAGAAGCGAAAGUGACGGUACCUGCAGAAGAAGCACCGGCUAACUACGUG